This 219-nucleotide long non-coding RNA is filed under the name Elaeis guineensis (African oil palm). Its description in RNAcentral is "long non-coding RNA (EGUI_LNC025540)". Lineage: Eukaryota; Viridiplantae; Streptophyta; Magnoliopsida; Arecales; Arecaceae. The record is from RNAcentral.
CUUCAACUUUUGCCAACUUCGCGUCAGCUCUCAUGGAGGCCAACUUAGCAUCGGCCAGUGCCAACCUUUUCGGGGUGGCCCGAUGCCUUCCAUGUUCGACUUCAAGUUCAUCAAUGCACCCAUCUCUCUCUUUUCGUAGCCGAUGGAUGGAGUGCUUCUUGCUCCUUAUUCACAAUUCGAGGGAUGAGAUGCUCUGAUGAGCUGACUCAAGUUUGGCCU